UGAAUACGAGAUGCUACGGCGUCGAAGCAGUCUAUGUCAUACUUCCAAGAAAAGCUUGCACUGUCAUAAACAAAUAAUGCCUGUACCAUAACCGACACAGGUGGGUAGGUAGAGUAUACUAAGGGGCGCGAGAUAACUCUCUCUAAGGAACUCGGCAAAAUGACUCCGUAACUUCGGGAGAAGGAGUGCCUUAUUUAUAAGGUUGCAAUAACAAGAUCCAAGCAACUGUUUACCAAAAACACAGGUCUCCGCUAAGUCGUAAGACGAUGUAUGGGGGCUGACGCCUGCCCAGUGCCAGAAGGUUAAAGAAGUUGGUUAGCAUCCGCGAAGCUGAUAACUGAAGCCCCGGUGAACGGCGGCCGUAACAAUAACGGUCCUAAGGUAGCGAAAUUCCUUGUCGGGUAAGUUCCGACCCGCACGAAAGGCGUAAUGAUUUGGAUACUGUCUCGGAGAGGGGCUCGGUGAAAUAGACUUGUCUGUGAAGAUGCGGACUACCUGCACUAGGACAGAAAGACCCUAUGAAGCUUUACUGUAACCUGAAAUUGAAAUUGGACUUUACUUGCGCAGUAUAGGUGGGAGGCGUUGAGAAUAUUCUUGCGGGAUUAUUGGAGCCAUCAGUGAGAUACCACUCUUGUAAUGUUAGAUUUCUAACUUUGUAUCAUUAUCUGGUCAAAGAACAGUUUCAGGCGGGCAGUUUGACUGGGGCGGUCGCCUCCUAAACGGUAACGGAGGCGCACAAAGGUUUCCUCUGAACGGGUAGAAAUCGUAUCUAGAGUGUAAAGGCAUAAGGAAGCUUGACUGUGAGACCUACAAGUCGAGCAGGGACGAAAGUCGGUCUUAGUGAUCUGACGGUGCUGAGUGGAAAGGCCGUCACUCAACGGAUAAGAGUUACUCUAGGGUAACAGGCUGAUCUCCCCCAAGAGUUCACAUCGACGGGGAGGUUUGGCACCUCGAUGUCGGCUCAUCGCAUCCUGGGGCGGUAGUACGUCCCAAGGGUUGGGCUGUUCGCCCAUGAAAGCGGUACGCGAGCUGGGUUCAGAACGUCGUGAGACAGUUCGGUCCAUAUCCGGUGUAGGCGUUAGAAUAUUGAGAGGAGCCUUCUUUAGUACGAGAGGACCGAGAAGGACAUACCUCUGGUGUACCAGUUAUCGUGCCAACGGUAAACGCUGGGUAGCUAUGUGUGGAGUGGAUAACCGCUGAAAGCAUCUAAGUGGGAAGCCCACCUCAAGAUAAGUA
RNAcentral lists this ribosomal RNA (1236 nucleotides) under metagenome. RNAcentral's name for it is "bacterial LSU rRNA". It matches the Rfam family "Bacterial large subunit ribosomal RNA", at positions 1564 to 2810 of the family's 2925-position model. The record is from RNAcentral.